CACUAUUGGGUUCCAGUCACACAAUGAAAAUAAUUUUAAAUUUUUUUAAAAAUACUCAAAUCAAUAGCUUUAUCAAAUAAAACUAUCGAGCCGAACUCAAAACCCUAGAAUCACCUUGCCGAACACGAUCAAAGCAAAUUCAAACAUUCAAAGAAAUAGAAUAUUAUACUUAAUUAAAAUAAAAAAGUAUCAGUUGGUGUUCUCCACAAGACCCCA
This 216-nucleotide long non-coding RNA is filed under the name Elaeis guineensis (African oil palm). RNAcentral's name for it is "long non-coding RNA (EGUI_LNC050257)". Lineage: Eukaryota; Viridiplantae; Streptophyta; Magnoliopsida; Arecales; Arecaceae. The record is from RNAcentral.